Molecule: long non-coding RNA, 1000 nt
Organism: Oreochromis aureus
Lineage: Eukaryota; Metazoa; Chordata; Actinopteri; Cichliformes; Cichlidae
Source: Ensembl
CGGCGGUCUGAAAGACAGAUACUUGGGCAGUCAGAAAAUAGAUCGCGGUGAGAGGCGAAAAACGCCGUUUUUUGGAGUUACAAAACGUCGUGUAACUCAAAAACUAGGAGGGCUAACAGCAUAAUUCUUGUACUGGGUGAAUCAGCGGACUUUGGUGUAUUUUGACUGCGAUUUUCAUAGCUCGUUCUACCUUCGUCGCGGAGAUAUGACGAGAGAAGAAACGGCUUCAUUUUCGGCGUUUGAAAACUGAGAGGAGGACAGAUUUCCACCCCUCAAACAAACGUAAUUAAUUGCUCAACGGGUAAGACAGAUGAAAUCAUCAAACUGCUCCAGCAGGACAAAGAAACAGCAGAGAAGCUGAAGUAGCUUCAGCUCCAGGGUGAGACAGAUAGUGAAAUCAUCAAACAGCUCCAGGAGGUGAAAGACAAAGCAGCUUCUGAAGAAGCAGCUGGAGUCCAAAAAUUGGGAGGUUUGUGUUUCCUUUAUACUCAAUGAAAAUUUGCUGACUUGGCUCUAUUUGGUAAUACAGAAUAGAACAGAAUAGCCACAUUAUUGUCAUUCAGAACAUAUACAGUUAGUGUCAGUAUUUACAUCAAAUUGUACAAUAUAAAUAAACAUUACCCCACCACACACUGAUUUAUUAUUAUUAUUAAAGUGAAAUUUAGAGUCCAGUUAGAGAAAACUUCUUGAUGCAAAGAUCCAGAUGAUCAUAAUGUCUCAUUAUUUAGUGCAAACACACAGUCAUAGAUGAAAGGAAACCUCUGUUCAGUUUUUGGAUUUUGGUUUGUCGUUGACUGAUCUAUCAUUAUGGAAACUGUAUUAUUUCAACAGUGGUUAUCAACACUUGUUAACACUUAAGCACAUCAACACUUAAUUGAGCUUCAUUUGCAAAUAUAAUUCAAGACACCUCAGAUAGCCUUUGAUGAGUGUCUGGAUCCUAGAUGAAGGCAUGUUUGAUCCUUCUUCCAUACAAAAAAGCAGAAAAGCAUCAACAGCCUGC